This 253-nucleotide ribosomal RNA is filed under the name uncultured bacterium. Its description in RNAcentral is "partial 16S ribosomal RNA". It matches the Rfam family "Bacterial small subunit ribosomal RNA", at positions 524 to 776 of the family's 1533-position model. The record is from RNAcentral.
UACGAAGGGGGCUGGCGUUGCUCGGAAUUACUGGGCGUAAAGGGCGCGUAGGCGGAUGUUUAAGUCAGGGGUGAAAUCCUGGAGCUCAACUCCAGAACUGCCUUUGAUACUGAAGAUCUUGAGUUCGGGAGAGGUGAGUGGAACUGCGAGUGUAGAGGUGAAAUUCGUAGAUAUUCGCAAGAACACCAGUGGCGAAGGCGGCUCACUGGCCCGAUACUGACGCUGAGGCACGAAAGCGUGGGGAGCAAACAGG